CCUACGGGAGGCAGCAGUAGGGAAUCUUCCGCAAUGGACGAAAGUCUGACGGAGCAACGCCGCGUGAACGAUGAAGGCCUUCGGGUCGUAAAGUUCUGUUGUUAGGGAAGAACAAGUGUUAGUUGAAUAAGCUGGCACCUUGACGGUACCUAACCAGAAAGCCACGGCUAACUACGUGCCAGCAGCCGCGGUAAUACGUAGGUGGCAAGCGUUGUCCGGAAUUAUUGGGCGUAAAGCGCGCGCAGGCGGUUUCUUAAGUCUGAUGUGAAAGCCCCCGGCUCAACCGGGGAGGGUCAUUGGAAACUGGGAAACUUGAGUGCAGAAGAGGAAAGUGGAAUUCCAAGUGUAGCGGUGAAAUGCGUAGAGAUUUGGAGGAACACCAGUGGCGAAGGCGACUUUCUGGUCUGUAACUGACGCUGAGGCGCGAAAGCGUGGGGAGCAAACAGGAUUAGAUACCCUGGUAGUCCACGCUGUAAACGAUGAGUGCUAAGUGUUAGAGGGUUUCCGCCCUUUAGUGCUGAAGUUAACGCAUUAAGC
Molecule: ribosomal RNA, 537 nt
Filed under: uncultured bacterium
Lineage: Bacteria
Description: bacterial SSU rRNA
Rfam family: Bacterial small subunit ribosomal RNA
Source: RNAcentral